AGUGAACGCUGGCGGUAGGCCUAACACAUGCAAGUCGAACGGCAGCACAGUAAGAGCUUGCUCUUACGGGUGGCGAGUGGCGGACGGGUGAGGAAUACAUCGGAAUCUACUUUUUCGUGGGGGAUAACGUAGGGAAACUUACGCUAAUACCGCAUACGACCUACGGGUGAAAGCAGGGGAUCUUCGGACCUUGCGCGAUUGAAUGAGCCGAUGUCGGAUUAGCUAGUUGGCGGGGUAAAGGCCCACCAAGGCGACGAUCCGUAGCUGGUCUGAGAGGAUGACGGGCAAAACUGGGACAGACAUACGGCCCGAAUUCCGGCGGGAGGCAGCAGUGGGGAGGAUUGCACAGUGGUCGCGAGGCGAAAGAAGCAACGCCGCGUAAGGGACGGCGGUCUUCGGGUUACAAAAAGCUUAAGCUCGGGAAGACGCGGAGCUGGCGGUCCCGGCAGAAGCGGCACCGGCUAACUACAUG
RNAcentral lists this ribosomal RNA (472 nucleotides) under uncultured bacterium. RNAcentral's name for it is "partial 16S ribosomal RNA". It matches the Rfam family "Bacterial small subunit ribosomal RNA", at positions 30 to 507 of the family's 1533-position model. The record is from RNAcentral.